CACGCAACGGUGUUCGGGUCCA
RNAcentral lists this microRNA (22 nucleotides) under Ascaris suum (pig roundworm). RNAcentral describes it as "asu-miR-100e-3p". Its record names the gene asu-miR-100e-3p. Lineage: Eukaryota; Metazoa; Nematoda; Chromadorea; Rhabditida; Ascarididae. The record is from miRBase by way of RNAcentral.